This 126-nucleotide non-coding RNA is filed under the name bovine gut metagenome. RNAcentral's name for it is "FMN riboswitch (RFN element)". It matches the Rfam family "FMN riboswitch aptamer (RFN element)". From Rfam's summary of the family: The RFN element is a highly conserved domain that is found frequently in the 5'-untranslated regions of prokaryotic mRNAs that encode for flavin mononucleotide (FMN) biosynthesis and transport proteins. This element is a metabolite-dependent riboswitch that directly binds FMN in the absence of proteins. The record is from RNAcentral.
ACUUCAGGGCAGGGUGAAAAUCCCUACUGGCGGUGAAGGAGCCCGUAAACUCCAAGUCCGCGAGCCUUUCGUGGCCGAAUCGGUGCAAAUCCGAUACCAACGGUACAGUCCGGAUGAAAGAAGGAG